GUGUCAGCCGCCGCGGUAAUACGGAGGAUGCAAGCGUUAUCCGGAAUGAUUGGGCGUAAAGAGUCCGUAGGUGGCUUUUCAAGUCUAUUGUUAAAGCGCGAGGCUUAACCUCGUGAAGGCCGUAGAAACUGAAAAGCUUGAGAGCAGUAGGGGCAGAAGGAAUUCCUGGUGUAGCGGUGAAAUGCGUAGAGAUCAGGAAGAACACCGGUGGCGAAAGCGUUCUGCUGGGCUGCAACUGACACUGAGGGACGAAAGCUAGGGGAGCGAAUGGGAUUAGAUACCCUCGUAGUCC
RNAcentral lists this ribosomal RNA (292 nucleotides) under uncultured bacterium. Its description in RNAcentral is "partial 16S ribosomal RNA". It matches the Rfam family "Bacterial small subunit ribosomal RNA", at positions 505 to 796 of the family's 1533-position model. The record is from RNAcentral.